GCCACUGCUAUUGGGGUUCGGCUAAGCCAUGCGAGUGGAGGGCGUCCCGCAAGGGAUGGCCCCGCAGACGGCUCAGUAACACGUCGUCAACCCACCUUAGGGAGGGGGACAACCUCGGGAAACUGAGGAUAAUCCCCCAUAGGCGGGGGAGGCUAGAAUGCGCCCCCGCUGAAAGCUCAGGCGCCCUAGGACGGGACGGCGGCCUAUCAGGUAGUUGGUG
RNAcentral lists this ribosomal RNA (220 nucleotides) under uncultured archaeon. Its description in RNAcentral is "partial 16S ribosomal RNA". It matches the Rfam family "Archaeal small subunit ribosomal RNA", at positions 23 to 238 of the family's 1478-position model. The record is from RNAcentral.